This 460-nucleotide ribosomal RNA is filed under the name uncultured bacterium. Its description in RNAcentral is "partial 16S ribosomal RNA". It matches the Rfam family "Bacterial small subunit ribosomal RNA", at positions 338 to 795 of the family's 1533-position model. The record is from RNAcentral.
CCUACGGGAGGCUGCAGUGAGGAAUAUUGGUCAAUGGACGAGAGUCUGAACCAGCCAAGUAGCGUGAAGGAUGACUGCCCUAUGGGUUGUAAACUUCUUUUAUAAAGGAAUAAAACGAGGCACGUGUGCCUUUUUGCAUGUACUUUAUGAAUAAGGAUCGGCUAACUCCGUGCCAGCAGCCGCGGUAAUACGGAGGAUCCGAGCGUUAUCCGGAUUUAUUGGGUUUAAAGGGAGCGUAGAUGGGUUGUUAAGUCAGUUGUGAAAGGUUGCGGCUCAACCGUAAAAUUGCAAUUGAUACUGGCAGUCUUGAGUACAGUUGAGGUAGGCGGAAUUCGUGGUGUAGCGGUGAAAUGCUUAGAUAUCACGAAGAACUCCGAUUGCGAAGGCAGCUUACUAAACUGCCACUGACAUUGAUGCUCGAAAGUGUGGGUAUCAAACAGGAUUAGAUACCCCUGUAGUC